Molecule: ribosomal RNA, 303 nt
Filed under: uncultured bacterium
Lineage: Bacteria
Description: partial 16S ribosomal RNA
Rfam family: Bacterial small subunit ribosomal RNA
Source: RNAcentral
AGCAGCAGCCACGGUAAAACGAAGGGUGCAAGCGUUAAUCGGAAUUACUGGGCGUAAAGCGUGCGUAGGCGGUUUGUUAAGUCUGCUGUGAAAUCCCCGGGCUCAACCUGGGAAUGGCAGUGGAUACUGGCAAGCUAGAGUGUGUCAGAGGAUGGUGGAAUUCCCGGUGUAGCGGUGAAAUGCGUAGAGAUCGGGAGGAACAUCAGUGGCGAAGGCGGCCAUCUGGGACAACACUGACGCUGAGGCACGAAAGCGUGGGGAGCAAACAGGAUUAGAUACCCGAGUAGUCCCUGUCUCUUAUAA